RNAcentral lists this ribosomal RNA (585 nucleotides) under uncultured bacterium. RNAcentral's name for it is "bacterial SSU rRNA". It matches the Rfam family "Bacterial small subunit ribosomal RNA", at positions 338 to 916 of the family's 1533-position model. The record is from RNAcentral.
CCUACGGGAGGCAGCAGUGGGGAAUUUUGGACAAUGGACGCAAGUCUGAUCCAGCAAUGCCGCGUGCAGGACGAAGGCCUUCGGGUUGUAAACUGCUUUUGUACGGAACGAAACGGUCUUCUUUAAUACAGAGGGCUAAUGACGGUACCGUAAGAAUAAGCACCGGCUAACUACGUGCCAGCAGCCGCGGUAAUACGUAGGGUGCGAGCGCUAAUCGGAAUUACUGGGCGUAAAGCGUGCGCAGGCGGUUAUAUAAGUCAGAUGUGAAAUCCCCGGGCUCAACCUGGGACCUGCAUUUGAGACUGUAUAGCUAGAGUACGGUAGAGGGGGAUGGAAUUCCGCGUGUAGCAGUGAAAUGCGUAGAUAUGCGGAGGAACACCGAUGGCGAAGGCAAUCCCCUGGACCUGUACUGACGCUCAUGCACGAAAGCGUGGGGAGCAAACAGGAUUAGAUACCCUGGUAGUCCACGCCCUAAACGAUGUCAACUGGUUGUUGGGUCUUCACUGACUCAGUAACGAAGCUAACGCGUGAAGUUGACCGCCUGGGGAGUACGGCCGCAAGGUUGAAACUUAAAUGAAUUGACGG